GAGACCCGCGCGCGGUCGUCAUUUCCUAACCCGCCUGCGGGCCCUGGCGCGUGCGCGGCGUCGGAGCAAGCGGCCCCUUCCUUCGGCCCCGCCCAGCCCCGCCGGCCGCCCGCUCCCUGGGGAACCGAGGGAGGAAUGGGCGGGGUCCUCAGGUGCCCGGCGACGUCAUCCAGCCCCCAAGGCUCCAGGACGCAAAGGGUCCCCUGAUCUGGCAGUCCCUGGACCUACCCUGGAGAGCGUGGGGGGACAAAGGCCGGACGCGCCGCCCGCUGCCGCCUCCAGGAAGCCCUCCCUUGCCAGGACAGUGGAGUUGGCCGGGUCCUUCCAAAGUGCCUACGGAAAGCUUUGUCCCAUCCUUGAAAAAUUGCUAAUGGGUUUGGAGAUACGAGGUGGAGAUGACUAGCAAUCAAACUCAAAGGUGGAAGUCACAUCGAGGCAGAUGAGCAGAUGAGGGGACCUAGAGAAGAAGAGAGGUGCAAGGAGAGCCCAGCCAGCAGGAACAUCUGCCCCAGUAGGCAGCACUGCCCCACAUCAGAGUCGAGGAAAGCAAAGCUCGGAUUGGAUAAAAGAAACUUGCAAACACGGUCAGUGCUUACUGCAUGUGGGCUCAGAGCACGUUACCCUCCUUCCCUGCAUGUUCCUGUGAAACGGGUUUACUGCUCUAACUCUCAGGGACACUGUGAAGACCAAACGAGAAAAUAGAAACAAACAUAAUUUAUAAACCAUAAAGUACUGACACCAAAAGAGGGGCGAGCACAGCAUUGUGAAUGUGCUGGUACUAAAUGGUUUGUUUUAAGAUGAUUUUAUGGUGUGUGAAUUUCACUUGAAUAAAUUUUUUUAAUGGAGUUCA
Molecule: long non-coding RNA, 850 nt
Filed under: Homo sapiens (human)
Lineage: Eukaryota; Metazoa; Chordata; Mammalia; Primates; Hominidae
Description: HSALNT0350537
Source: RNAcentral